CAUGAUAACUGAUAUAGGGCAAGGUGCUUUCAAUGGUAUGGCAAGUCUUCGAAAGUUGGAUUUGUCUUCAAAAAAAAUAACUCAUCUAAAGGAUGGUGCCUUCAAUGGUUUGACAAGCCUCCAAUCGUUGAAAUUGAGUGGUAACAAAGUAACUGAUCUGAAACAUGGUGUAUUCAAUGGUUUGAAAAGUCUUGAAGAGCUGUAAGUGACAAUAUUCUAAUAUCUCUAAUAAUCUGUUCUUGAACAUUAAUUAUUGUAUGUGUCUGAUUAACCAGUGUAGGAUUUGUUUUUAUAUAUCAAUCGAUUGCAAACCACUCUCUAAAUUCACGUAUUAACGGUAAUACACCACUCGCGUUAUCGAUCACAAGCACAUUAUAUUAAUUACAAAAUUAAUAAUUGAGUACACAUCGUGA
This is a long non-coding RNA of Anneissia japonica, 413 nucleotides long. RefSeq lists it as uncharacterized. The record is from RefSeq and is a predicted model, not a curated record. The transcript has 3 exons. NCBI's taxonomy places the organism in Eukaryota, Metazoa, Echinodermata, Crinoidea, Comatulida, Comatulidae.